This 339-nucleotide long non-coding RNA is filed under the name Capsicum annuum. RNAcentral's name for it is "long non-coding RNA (CANN_LNC000641)". Lineage: Eukaryota; Viridiplantae; Streptophyta; Magnoliopsida; Solanales; Solanaceae. The record is from RNAcentral.
GGAAACGAGUUACAAAUAAUACCCCCAUGGGAUAUCCCAUGUUAUUUGCCGUGGCCAUUCCCCUGGCCACGACCAUGGCCAUGCCCUCCUCCACGACCACGACCACAACCUCGACCACGCCCAUGCCCACCGCCACCUCCUCCACCGUGUCCCCCACCACCUCUACCUCCGCGCUCACCACCACCUCCACCUCCGCGCUCGCCACCGCCUCCACCACCAAGAUCACCCCCUCCUACACCGUUUUCGGGGUGCUCUAUUAGUGACCAAGAAAAGGUGAAGAAAUGCAUGUUCAACACAACUUCAAUUGAUGCAUGUUGUCCAACAUUCAAGAGCAUACUU